This 416-nucleotide ribosomal RNA is filed under the name uncultured bacterium. RNAcentral's name for it is "bacterial SSU rRNA". It matches the Rfam family "Bacterial small subunit ribosomal RNA", at positions 362 to 775 of the family's 1533-position model. The record is from RNAcentral.
UAUUGGUCAAUGGGCGGGAGCCUGAACCAGCCAAGUCGCGUGAGGGAAGACGGUCCUACGGAUUGUAAACCUCUUUUGCCGGGGAGCAACGGGGUCCUUGCGAGGGCCCAAUGAGAGUACUCGGAGAAAAAGCAUCGGCUAACUCCGUGCCAGCAGCCGCGGUAAUACGGAGGAUGCGAGCGUUAUCCGGAUUUAUUGGGUUUAAAGGGUGCGUAGGCGGGCUGUUAAGUCAGCGGUCAAAUGUCGGGGCUCAACCCCGGCCUGCCGUUGAAACUGGCGGCCUCGAGUGGGCGAGAAGUAUGCGGAAUGCGUGGUGUAGCGGUGAAAUGCAUAGAUAUCACACAGAACACCGAUUGCGAAGGCAUCUCACGAAUCCGCGAUUGACGCUGAUGCACGAAAGCGUGGGUAUCAAACAG